GAUGAACGCUGGCGGCGUGCCUAAUACAUGCAAGUCGAGCGAACAGAUAAGGAGCUUGCUCCUUUGACGUUAGCGGCGGACGGGUGAGUAACACGUGGAUAACCUACCUAUAAGACUGGGAUAACUUCGGGAAACCGGAGCUAAUACCGGAUAACAUAUUGAACCGCAUGGUUCAAUAGUGAAAGGCGGCUUUGCUUUCACUUAUAGAUUGAUCCGCGCCGUAUUAGCUAGUUGGUAAGGUAACGGCUUACCAAGGCAACGAUACGUAGCCGACCUGAGAGGGUGAUCGGCCACACUGGAACUGAGACACGGUCCAGACUCCUACGGGAGGCAGCAGUAGGGAAUCUUCCGCAAUGGGCGAAAGCCUGACGGAGCAACGCCGCGUGAGUGAUGAAGGUCUUCGGAUCGUAAAACUCUGUUAUCAGGGAAGAACAAAUGUGUAAGUAACUGUGCACAUCUUGACGGUACCUGAUCAGAAAGCCACGGCUAACUACGUG
RNAcentral lists this ribosomal RNA (497 nucleotides) under uncultured bacterium. RNAcentral's name for it is "partial 16S ribosomal RNA". It matches the Rfam family "Bacterial small subunit ribosomal RNA", at positions 28 to 507 of the family's 1533-position model. The record is from RNAcentral.